RNAcentral lists this ribosomal RNA (402 nucleotides) under uncultured bacterium. Its description in RNAcentral is "bacterial SSU rRNA". It matches the Rfam family "Bacterial small subunit ribosomal RNA", at positions 355 to 774 of the family's 1533-position model. The record is from RNAcentral.
UGGGGAAUAUUGGACAAUGGGGGAAACCCUGAUCCAGCAAUGCCGCGUGAGUGAAGAAGGCCUUAGGGUUGUAAAGCUCUUUCGCCCGCGAAGAUAAUGACGGUAGCGGGAGAAGAAGCCCCGGCUAACUCCGUGCCAGCAGCCGCGGUAAUACGGAGGGGGCUAGCGUUGUUCGGAAUUACUGGGCGUAAAGCGUACGUAGGCGGAUGCGCAAGUUGGGGGUGAAAUCCCGGGGCUUAACCUCGGAAUUGCCCUCAAAACUGCACGUCUUGAGACCGAGAGAGAUAAGGGGAAUUCCUAGUGUAGAGGUGAAAUUCGUAGAUAUUAGGAAGAACACCAGUGGCGAAGGCGCCUUACUGACUCGGUACUGACGCUGAGGUACGAAAGCGUGGGGAGCAAACA